This 253-nucleotide ribosomal RNA is filed under the name uncultured prokaryote. RNAcentral's name for it is "partial 16S ribosomal RNA". It matches the Rfam family "Bacterial small subunit ribosomal RNA", at positions 524 to 776 of the family's 1533-position model. The record is from RNAcentral.
UACGUAGGGACCAAGCGUUGUUCGGAUUUACUGGGCGUAAAGGGCGCGUAGGCGGCAUGACAAGUCACUUGUGAAAUCUCCGGGCUUAACUCGGAACGGCCAAGUGAUACUGUCGCGCUAGAGUGCGGAAGGGGCAAUCAGAAUUCUUGGUGUAGCGGUGAAAUGCGUAGAUAUUGGGAAGAACACCGGUGGCGUAGGCGACUAGCUGGGCUGUAACUGACGCUGAGGAACGAAAGCCAGGGGAGCGAAUGGG